UUCAAUUGCCAAACUUGGCAGGCAUAUUCGAGUACUGGUCUGAUAAUGAUGCAGUAUACCAAAAUUAGAAUGCUAUUGUCGACAUUUGAUCGUUUUAAAACCUUAGCAUAUAAAGGCGUUUUCCCGCUUUUUUAACAAUAUGGUUCACAUGCUCGUUCCAUUUCAAAUCAUCUUGACUUGAAAGACCAAGAAUUCGGGCAGAUUUUACCCGCUCAAUACCAACGUUAUUUAUAGUUAACGGUAAGAACUCAUGUUUUUCUCUUGCAAAGUCAAUUACCAUUUCCUUACAUUUACCGAUGUUAAGCUUCAUAUAUUUAUUGAGUCUGGAG
Paramuricea clavata is the source of this 329-nucleotide non-coding RNA. NCBI's taxonomy places the organism in Eukaryota, Metazoa, Cnidaria, Anthozoa, Malacalcyonacea, Plexauridae. The record is from the annotation of a GenBank genome assembly.